Long non-coding RNA from Apis florea (little honeybee), 767 nucleotides. The record is from RefSeq and is a predicted model, not a curated record. Lineage: Eukaryota; Metazoa; Arthropoda; Insecta; Hymenoptera; Apidae.
UCGAGGGACGAGAAAGAUGAUAAAAAAAAGAGAGAGAGAAAGAGAGAGAAUAUAGUUAUUGAAAAGCAAAGUUUUUAAGCGAAUACGCACUUCCCUCUCUGGAGGGAGCGUGUCUGCCACUCGUGAAAUAUAGACGACACGCUCUGGGAAGAAUUUAGUUGCGAGGUUGAAGAGAGGGAUGUUCUUCUUGGAACUUGGUCGUCGAGUUGAAUCCGUUCCAAUGUUCGACGUUUUACAUUACAGCGCAAAGUGGUGUCAAUUAGGCUCGUAAUAUCGUCCGAAAGAAUUAACCAAUCCUCCGUUGGCAAUGAUUGUCGCGUUUCUCGUCGUUUCUAAAAUUUCAUCGAAGUUCUUUCCCAACUUUGCUCCCAAAAACUUUUCCCUUUCGAACUUUUAUCCCCUAAAAAAAAGGAAGAUAUAUUCGAACAAAUUGUAAUCGGCGUACUCUAUAUAUAGGCGGAUUAAUUUUAAGAAAAAAUAAUAAAAAAGAAUAAAUCGCUCGUGGAAAAUUUCGACUAAUCAAAAAUCUUCACUUUCAGGCGCGAUUGAAUCCAAUCCGGGGCGAAGCUCGCUCGGCUUCAACCGAAUCGAAGUCUCGCACAAACCGAGUCGAUGCCGCUCGAUUUCCGGAUAAAUUUAUUUUAAGUGUCCUCCCGAUGCCUCGAUUCACCAUGCUCGGUCGAAAGGAGUGAUAGCAACUGAGAGACUCGUCGGGCAAGUGUUCUCGUUUGCGUGACCCGGCGCCGUGUCAGACGCGAUCGAAAAAA